Molecule: ribosomal RNA, 393 nt
Filed under: uncultured bacterium
Lineage: Bacteria
Description: partial 16S ribosomal RNA
Rfam family: Bacterial small subunit ribosomal RNA
Source: RNAcentral
AUACGGAGGAUGCAAGCGUUAUCCGGAUUUACUGGGCGUAAAGCGCACGCAGGCUGACUUAUAAGUCGGUAGUCUAAUGCGGAGGCUCAACUUCCGUUUAUCUAUCGAUACUGUAAGACUAGAGUAUGUGAGAGGGAAGUGGAAUUCCCGGUGUAGCGGUGAAAUGCGUAGAUAUCAUGAAGAACUCCGAUUGCGAAGGCAGUCCGCUGGGGCACGUCUGACGCUGAUGCUCGAAGGUGCGGGAAUCAAACAGGAUUAGAUACCCUGGUAGUCCGCACGGUAAACGAUGAUUACCCGCUGUCGGCGGUAGACAGUCGGCGGCCAAGCGAAAGCGAUAAGUAAUCCACCUGGGGAGUACGCCGGCAACGGUGAAACUCAAAUGAAUUGACGGGG